CCUACGGGUGGCAGCAGUAGGGAAUCUUUCACAAUGGGCGAAAGCCUGAUGGAGCAACGCCGCGUGCAGGAUGAAGGCCCUCCGGUUGUAAAAUGCUUUUAUAAGCGAGAAAUAUGAUGGUAACUUAUGAAUAAGGAUCGGAUAACAACGUUCCAGCGGCCGCGGGCACACGUCGGAGCCGAGCAUUAUACGGAGUGACUGGGGGUAAAGAGUUGCGUAGGUGGCGUAAUAAGUCGCUAGUGGAAUCUGGACGCUCAAACAUUCAGACUAUUAUCGAAACUGUUAAUCUAGAGACCAUUAGAGGUAACUGGAAUUCCUAGUGUAGGGGUGAAAUCCUUAGAUAUCAGAAGGAAC
This 354-nucleotide ribosomal RNA is filed under the name uncultured bacterium. RNAcentral's name for it is "partial 16S ribosomal RNA". It matches the Rfam family "Bacterial small subunit ribosomal RNA", at positions 338 to 707 of the family's 1533-position model. The record is from RNAcentral.